GACGAACGCUGGCGGCGUGCUUAACACAUGCAAGUCGAGCGGUAAGGCCCUUCGGGGUACACGAGCGGCGAACGGGUGAGUAACACGUGGGUGACCUGCCUUUAGCUCUGGGAUAAGCCUGGGAAACUGGGUCUAAUACCGGAUAUGACCUCAUGAUGCAUGUUGUGGGGUGGAAAGCCUUGUGCGGCUGGAGAUGGGCCCGCGGCCUAUCAGCUUGUUGGUGGGGUGANGGCCUACCAAGGCGACGACGGGUAGCCGGCCUGAGAGGGCGACCGGCCACACUGGGACUGAGACACGGCCCAGACUCCUACGGGAGGCAGCAGUGGGGAAUCUUGCGCAAGUGGGCGAAAGCCUGACGCAGCGACGCCACGUGAGGGAUGACGGCCUCGG
RNAcentral lists this ribosomal RNA (390 nucleotides) under uncultured bacterium. RNAcentral's name for it is "bacterial SSU rRNA". It matches the Rfam family "Bacterial small subunit ribosomal RNA", at positions 28 to 420 of the family's 1533-position model. The record is from RNAcentral.